GGGAAAGUAGCCCAUUUUCGAUACUUGUGAGGUUUGUUGUGCUUGCAAUUUCACCUGGACCUAUUUUAGGUGUGCCAGCUGCCACUUUGGGUGGCACCGGCACACCCUGGCACACCCGUGGCUACGCCACUGCCUGGGGCAACCAUGUCGAAGGCAUCUAUUGAGGUUAAAUUUGCAGACAUGAGUGACGAUAUGCAACGAGACGCUCUACAGUGCCUGCUAAUGGCUCAGCAUAUGUAUGAAGAGAACAACGACAUUGCUCAAUGCAUCGCGAAGGAGUUUGACAGAAAGCAUGGGGGCACCUGGCAAUGCAUUGUGGGGAACUUUGGUUACCACCUUACGAGCAAUAGUUAUAUCUGCUUCUAUGAUGGCAAGAAAUAUAUUCUGCUCUUCAAGCCCUAGCUGAGGAACAGUAACAGUUCAAAUACAUCUUAUGAUAAAGUGCUGGAGGUUGUAAUAAACUCAAGAUCAGAGGUGUGAGUUUCUGCUGUGAAAUCUGCUGAUUUUUAUGAAGUAAAUGUAAGAAUAACUUUAAUAUUUUUAGUAAUAUUUCAAGAUGAACUGAACCGAGUCAUCAUCCAUAGUACACCAUUUUUUAAUUUUUUUAUUAGGAGUGCAAAACUUACAACAUAGGGUGAACACAAAACACAACAACAAAACAAAAAACAACAACAAAACAGCAGUGAUAGUAACAGCAAUGAAAAAUAAGCAGAAAUGACAAAUGGGUAAUAGUAGAAGUAUGUAAAUAGUAAUAGCAUGUAUAAUAAUAAUGAUAAUAAUAUUUUGUGAUGACGGCAACAGUAAUAACAGUAAUAAUAAUAACAAUAAUAAUACUAAAGAUGGUGAUGAUAAGUUGUGUUGACGGCAGUAGUAAUAUAAUAAUAAUAGAUAACAUUGAUAAUAAUGAUAAUAAUAACAGUAGAGGUACUGAUACUAAUGAUGGUGAUGAUAAUAUUUUGUGUUGAUGGAACAAGUAAAAUCAAUAACAAUAAUAAUAAUAAUAAUAAUAAUAAUAACAACAUUUGUAUCAAUAAUAAUAGCAACAGUAAUAACAGUAAU
Megalobrama amblycephala (Wuchang bream) is the source of this 1059-nucleotide long non-coding RNA. RefSeq lists it as uncharacterized. The record is from RefSeq and is a predicted model, not a curated record. NCBI's taxonomy places the organism in Eukaryota, Metazoa, Chordata, Actinopteri, Cypriniformes, Xenocyprididae. The transcript has 3 exons.